UAUGUGAUCGUCUCUCGCAUAUCAAUAAGCGGAGGAAAAGAAACUAACAAGGAUUCCCCUAGUAACGGCGAGUGAAGCGGGAAGAGCUCAAAUUUGAAAUCUUAAAGGGUUUCCCUUUACGAAUUGUAGUUUAAAGAAGUGUUUUCUGUUGAGGUUUUGGUAAAAGUUCUUUGGAAUAGGACAUCAUAGAGGGUGAGAAUCCCGUAUUUGACCUUUACUUUCAACUUUGUGAUACACUUUCAAAGAGUCGGAUUGUUUGGGAAUGCAGUCCAAAAUGGGUGGUAAAUCUCAUCUAAAGCUAAAUAUUGGCGAGAGACCGAUAGCGAACAAGUACCGUGAGGGAAAGAUGAAAAGAACUUUGAAAAGAGAGUUAAACAGUACGUGAAAUUGUCAAAAGGGAAGCGUUUGACACCAGUGUUGUUUUUCUGAAAAUCAAUUAAAGAACUGUUUAUGCUAAGUUGUUUAGACUUUAUCAGCUAUCUGCUUAGUUUUGAGCUUUUCUUUAAUGCACUUUUCAGUUAACAAGUCAACAUCAAUUUCUUUUGCUGUAAAAAAGCUUGAGGAAGGUGGCUUGAGAUUCGUCUUAAGUGUUUAUAGCCUCUUGCCUAUGCAGUCGGAGAGAUUGAGGUCUGCAGCGUAGAUCCUUCGGGGCUAAAUGCAUUUGUGCUAAGUUAUAGCAUUUUAUAGACAACUUGUUGACUAUGAUUUGUCUUGUAGCUUACUCGCUUAUGUUAUUUUACCUACGCUUAGGAUGUUGACGAGACUGUCGAUCUC
RNAcentral lists this ribosomal RNA (774 nucleotides) under uncultured Neocallimastigales. Its description in RNAcentral is "partial large subunit ribosomal RNA". It matches the Rfam family "Eukaryotic large subunit ribosomal RNA", at positions 24 to 647 of the family's 3401-position model. Lineage: Eukaryota; Fungi; Neocallimastigomycota; Neocallimastigomycetes; Neocallimastigales. The record is from RNAcentral.